This is a long non-coding RNA of Lolium perenne, 722 nucleotides long. RefSeq lists it as uncharacterized. Lineage: Eukaryota; Viridiplantae; Streptophyta; Magnoliopsida; Poales; Poaceae. The record is from RefSeq and is a predicted model, not a curated record.
ACGUUUCCAUUCUUGAAUAUUAAUCUUAAGCUUGUCUUAAUUUAAAUUUAAACUUUCAUAUGGUAUUUCAGGUCUAUGGGUCCAAGCCAUAGAUAUUGUAGUGUUUGUUGGAACUGGCUGCAAAAAUGUGUCCCCCAAUAUUGUAGGGGGCCUGCGAUAUGCUUGAGGGGGAACUUAAUCUGACACUUUAGAUCUGUUCAGUUAUAUGUGAUCGAGAUACUAAUCAAGAACACAAAUAUAUACAUCAACUGCUGACAACGCGCUGAAAUUAGAGAAAAGAGGAUAUCGUGGAUGGCUUGCAAAACGGCUGAACCAUGAUAUGAUUGGUGUUCAUAAGUACAUCGAUCAACAUCAACAAGAAGUUAGGGUAUACAUGGGAUAUUUUGAAGUUGCAUUCGUAUUAUUUCAGUUUUAUAAACAUGGAUAUUUUGAAAUUUCAUUUGUAUUAUUUCAGUUUUAUAAUAGUUGGUUAAGUUUUUGGAUGUAUACAUUAGUGUGAUGUUUCUUGCAUGUAGCCGGUGGAGCUACCGUCAUAGUGGUGACAUGGAGGGUGAGUGGUUGGUAAAGUGUUGAAUAUUGUAUUUUUGGUUAUCAAGGAGUGACAUGUUUGAUUCGAGCUGCUCGAGAAGGGCCUCAUCAUGUGACUGGGGUGUUAAUUGUAAUUUCGGAUAAUAUUACACACAUAUUUUUGUUAUGGUUAUGUCAAUGUACACUUUUUUUCA